RNAcentral lists this small RNA (28 nucleotides) under Bombyx mori (domestic silkworm). RNAcentral describes it as "ovarian small RNA-22558". The record is from RNAcentral. Lineage: Eukaryota; Metazoa; Arthropoda; Insecta; Lepidoptera; Bombycidae.
UAGCUUAAAUAAGAAUUGUGGUGAGCAA